This 587-nucleotide ribosomal RNA is filed under the name uncultured bacterium. Its description in RNAcentral is "bacterial SSU rRNA". It matches the Rfam family "Bacterial small subunit ribosomal RNA", at positions 338 to 916 of the family's 1533-position model. The record is from RNAcentral.
CCUACGGGAGGCAGCAGUGGGGAAUCUUGCGCAAUGGGGGAACCCUGACGCAGCAACGCCGCGUGGGUGAUGAAGGCCUUCGGGUCGUAAAGCCCUGUCAGGUGGGAAGAAACUUGUGGAUGUCAACACCAUCCAUGCUUGACGGUACCACCGGAGGAAGCACCGGCUAACUCCGUGCCAGCAGCCGCGGUAAUACGGAGGGUGCAAGCGUUGUUCGGAAUUAUUGGGCGUAAAGCGCGUGUAGGUGGUCGUGUAAGUCAGAUGUGAAAGCCUUCUGCUUAACAGAAGAAGUGCAUUUGAAACUGCUCGGCUAGAGUACGGGAGAGGAGAGUGGAAUUCCCGGUGUAGAGGUGAAAUUCGUAGAUAUCGGGAGGAACACCAGUGGCGAAGGCGGCUCUCUGGUCCGAUACUGACGCUGAGACGCGAAAGCGUGGGGAGCAAACAGGAUUAGAUACCCUGGUAGUCCACGCCGUAAACGAUGGGCACUAGGUGUAGGAGGUAUUGACCCCUUCUGUGCCGAAGCUAACGCAUUAAGUGCCCCGCCUGGGGAGUACGGCCGCAAGGCUAAAACUCAAAGGAAUUGACGG